Molecule: long non-coding RNA, 2075 nt
Organism: Etheostoma spectabile (orangethroat darter)
Lineage: Eukaryota; Metazoa; Chordata; Actinopteri; Perciformes; Percidae
Exons: 2
Source: RefSeq, a predicted model, not a curated record
GUAGGACCUCCGCCUACCAUUCGUACGCACACUGACUUUAUGAGUGCCAUCACAACAACAGCAGUUGAUUUCAGUCCAGUCAUUGACGAAAAGUUCAUUUCUUUAUUUUUUGUUUAGGUUUAUGUCUGCACUGCUGUAUUACAAGCAAACCACGACUCGCUUUAUGAACAAGUUAACAUUUUCACAACAUUGUUGUUGUGGACACUUCAGCGUGAAGUACUUGACUGUGUUUCUCACCAUACAUUACCAUUUCUGGCCUUUACAUCACUUCAAAAUCAAAGAAGAAACAUAGUAGAGGACAAAUUAACAGCCACUACAAAAAUUCCGCAGUAAAAACAAACGUGCUAAAGCUCAUAAUAUGUAAUUUAAGACUGCAACUGAGGACUGUUUAUAUGAUUAGUUAUUUACAAUAUCAAUUAAUCUACUUUCAUGUGCCUCAGUUGCUGACACACGCUGAAAAGUCUUAGGUCUAGGUCUUGCUAAAACGUUAUGUUUGUCAUAAUGUCAUUCAAUUCUCGCUAUAUGUUCAUGGUGUGGCACAUUUUUUUGUAACUGUCCUGAUAAUUCACAAAUGUCUCAGUCUUAAUUCAAAAUGAGAAAUGUCCAUUCAUUGACAACAGAAAUAAAUUUCAGUUGUAUCAUUCACUACUUGAAAGAAAGGGAUUUUUCAUCAAUGCUCUCAAUAUAGCCAUCUAAAUUUGACCAUCAGGCACAAAAAACCAUUACAAAACUUUACAAAAAGUCUAUUUUCAAAACUUGAUAAUGAUCUCAAUGAAAUAUGUAAAAAAAAACAAUUACAAAAGCAGCUCCUUAAGUGAGUCACCGGAAGUUUAGUGCCAUUGAGCAGUGUGUGGCAACUUCACAAUAGAAGUCUGAUAGUCGCCACUAUUAUUACCGAGUUCUCAAGAACACAUUACACAACUCACAAGGGACCAUAAAUCUGUCAAACAAAAAACUCAAGUAUGAAGCUUCACCAGACUGGUAGUCACUGCAGGGCUAUUGUAUCAAGUGUCUCUGUUAUUUCGUCCAGCCUCUGAAGUUCAGUGAGUGUCAACUUUGACUGAAAUGUUGUCAUUUUGUUAUGCAAGACUUUCCCAGUCUGAGAAACUAAAGGCUAUCUGUGUCGACAUCCUUGUCUUUAUCCAUCAUUCUUUGAAUUUGUGGGUUGUUAAGUGUAUUUACUGAAGAGGAUUUUUGCUCUUCUAAUGAACCGCAACACAGUUAUGACACAUCGGAAGAAGAGGAGGCCGUUUUCACAUAGAGAGCUUCUCCUAAUAAAGGACCAGUGUGUAGGAUUUAGCGGUAUCUAGCGGGGAUCACCUUCCCUCAUCGCUCCCUUUCCAAGUUUGUCUGAGAACCCUGUUCAGUCAAACAGUUCGCCCUCAAAUUUGCGUCUGAAUUUGUCGUCAGCUAAUUGGAAAUGGUGUUUGGCAAAGGCAGCCAAAAACAAAAAUAGAAGAGCUUCAACACAAAUGUGUACACUGUCAAUGAAUCUGCUGAUUAUGUUUAGGAUCGAUCAAUCAAUAAUAAAAACGACCUUCACUAUAUUCCGGCAUCCAAGGUGACAUAUUAUAUUUUUGGUUUAGCUGUCCAACAACCAAGGAUAUUCAAUUUACUAUAAGAGACUUAGAAAACUAGCAAUAUUCAUACAUGAGGAGCUGGAACAAUUAAUCCAUUAUCAAAAUUGUUGCUGAUUAUCUUUUCUGUAAAACAACAAACUAACAAAUUAACUAAUAUACGUUAUACAAAUUAAGCUGCCUAAUAAUUCCAUCUUAAAACAUUUUUUAAAGAAUCAUACUUACCUUUUUUUUUAUUAUUAUUUAUUGUCCCCGUCAAGACAAAUGGAGUAAACCACUUGAAAUUCUGUUGAGUGAAGGUACUGUAUGUUCCAAGACUGAAGUUUUAGUUGUUUGCGUUAUUACAAAUGUCAUUGAAAAGUGACAUUUAAAAGUUCAGGUUUUACUUUCGGCUCUCUAUUUCAUUGUUCUCACCUCCACAAACACACUGAAUCCAGUUUCAGUUGGAUCUGGAUCAAACCCUCUGUGGUUAAAGGGCCAAAGAGAAACUCCCUAAAC